UACGGGGGGGGCAAGCGUUGUUCGGAAUUACUGGGCGUAAAGGGCGCGCAGGCGGCCAAGGAAGUUCUGGGUGAAAGCCCCCGGCUUAACCGGGGAAGUGCCUGGAAAACCACUUGGCUGGAGUGCUGGAGAGGGAAGCGGAAUUCCUGGUGUAGCGGUGAAAUGCGUAGAUAUCAGGAGGAACACCGGAGGCGAAGGCGGCUUCCUGGACAGACACUGACGCUGAGGCGCGAAAGCCAGGGGAGCAAACGGG
Molecule: unclassified non-coding RNA, 253 nt
Filed under: uncultured Acidobacteriota bacterium
Lineage: Bacteria; Pseudomonadati; Acidobacteriota
Description: uncultured Acidobacteria bacterium contains 16S-23S intergenic spacer region
Rfam family: Bacterial small subunit ribosomal RNA
Source: RNAcentral